RNAcentral lists this non-coding RNA (23 nucleotides) under Drosophila melanogaster (fruit fly). Lineage: Eukaryota; Metazoa; Arthropoda; Insecta; Diptera; Drosophilidae. The record is from RNAcentral.
UAAUUGCAAAAUCGAUCAGGUCU